GACGAACGCUGGCGGCGUGCCUAAUACAUGCAAGUCGAACGCAGUUUCGAACGGGUGAGUAACGCGUAGGUUACUGCCCCAUUGCGGGGGAUAAAUAUUGGGAACGAUAGCUAAUACCCCACACUGUGAGAUGGACCUGCGUUGUAUUAGGUAGUUGGUGGGGUAAAGGCUCACCAAGGCGACGAUACAUAGCCGACCUGAGAGGGUGAACGGCCACACUGGGACUGAGACACGGCCCAGACUCCUACGGGAGGCAGCAGUAGGGAAUCUUCGGCAAUGGACGGAAGUCUGACCGAGCAACGCCGCGUGAGUGAAGAAGGUUUUCGGGUCGUAAAGCUCUGUUGAUAGGGAAGCGGUAACGAACCAGAAAGCGACGGCUAACUACGUGCCAGCAGCCGCGGUAAUAC
Molecule: ribosomal RNA, 407 nt
Filed under: uncultured bacterium
Lineage: Bacteria
Description: partial 16S ribosomal RNA
Rfam family: Bacterial small subunit ribosomal RNA
Source: RNAcentral